Helianthus annuus (common sunflower) is the source of this 1089-nucleotide long non-coding RNA. RefSeq lists it as uncharacterized. Lineage: Eukaryota; Viridiplantae; Streptophyta; Magnoliopsida; Asterales; Asteraceae. The record is from RefSeq and is a predicted model, not a curated record. The transcript is spliced from 2 exons.
UACAAGCAACGUGAUCCACCCACAAGAAGUUACGUGAAAUUAGCUGUUCAAAAAAAAGAAGUUACGUGAAACCCUUUAUAAUAAAUAUUAUUUUGUUCCCACCAAAUAAUAAACAUUUAUAAUUCACAUAUGCUCCUUACUUAAUUCUCCAAACCUAUUCCUUUUAUCACAUCCCAACCGCCCAGACUUACCAUUCCCAUGUUCCUCGCUUCAUACUCUCUUCAUCCAAAACCAUCCACUAUGAAUAUUGAUAUUACAGUUUAUAGUGAUUGAUUACAAGUACAAUUUCAAAUAUGCAUGUGUUUGCAAUCAAACGAAAAUGAUGAAUUUCAAUUCGCGUAUAUGACGUGCAAAGAUAUACAUAGUCAUUAGAUACAAGGAACAUGUAUGUAUAUUGUUUGUGAUUGUAUAGCAGAGUGUAGAGAUAGAAAAACACGUGUGUGUUUAUUUGUGUUUUUUUUGAGAGAUGAAGGAAAAAGGUUUUUCUUGGGUCGGUGUUUUUGUUAUUGUUAUUAAAAUGUUUAUCAUUAUAGGAAAUAUUAAAUUUAGGUUUCGUUGUAUCUUCCUACUUAUUUUUUGUCAAAGAGUUUUGUGGUGGUUUUCAAGGUUUCUAUGGCGGUUUGACAAAGGAAAAGUUGCGACAGUUCCAGUAGUGAUUAAUAACGGUGGCAUGGUGUGCCGGUGGCUGGUGGGGAGGCUACAGUUCCCCUCGAUUGGGCACUACACCGCUCUAAAUGAGACUUGCACCUGCUGCCGGUAUUCUCAAUAGAUAACAUGUGUAGAUUGUCAAGGGAGAGGGGGUUGCCUCGCCGAUAUUGGUGUGAACUCACGCCAGCUAUUCUUCUCAGGUUGAAAUGACAGUGGCGAUGGGGGUAGUGUGACAGUGGUCACAGCUCUGCCAUCGCUCUGGUGCGUCACCUCUAUACGCCAUGCUCGGCUCCCCAUCCUAUCCAACGGUUAUUUGAGGUUGGGUUGAGUGGAACACACAUGUAUUUGUUUUAGAUCUUUAGCCAUAUUAUGGACAAUUAGUUUCAAAGUUUCAUGUUCUUACAAGGAAAAAAACAUAAUAUGGAAUUCAUUUUCAUACCA